UACGUAGGGAGCAAGCGUUGUCCGGAAUCAUUGGGCGUAAAGCGCGCGUAGGUGGCCCCAUAAGUCCGCUGUGAAAGUCAAAGGCUCAACCUUUGAAAGCCGGUAGAUACUGUGGGACUAGAGUACGGAAGAGGCGAGUGGAAUUCCUGGUGUAGCGGUGGAAUGCGCAGAUAUCAGGAGGAACACCAAUAGCGAAGGCAGCUCGCUGGGACGUUACUGACGCUCAGGCGCGAUAGCGUGGGGAUCAAACAGG
This 253-nucleotide ribosomal RNA is filed under the name uncultured bacterium. Its description in RNAcentral is "partial 16S ribosomal RNA". It matches the Rfam family "Bacterial small subunit ribosomal RNA", at positions 524 to 776 of the family's 1533-position model. The record is from RNAcentral.